Molecule: signal recognition particle RNA, 265 nt
Filed under: Candidatus Rokuibacteriota bacterium
Lineage: Bacteria; Candidatus Rokuibacteriota
Description: Candidatus Rokubacteria bacterium signal recognition particle sRNA large type
Rfam family: Bacterial large signal recognition particle RNA
About the family: The signal recognition particle (SRP) is a universally conserved ribonucleoprotein involved in the co-translational targeting of proteins to membranes. Archaeal SRP consists of a 7S RNA and homologues of the eukaryotic SRP19 and SRP54 proteins. In most bacteria, the SRP consists of a 4.5S RNA and the Ffh protein (a homologue of the eukaryotic SRP54 protein).
Source: RNAcentral
CCGUGCUAGACGGGGAGGUAGCGGUGCCCUGUAGCCCGCAAUCCGCUAUAGCGGGGUUGAAUUCCCUCUCGAGGGUCGCUCGUGUCGAAUGAACCGCGCGCGACGGCGUUGAUGGUUGGGCCCCACGCAACGGGAUGCGUCAAACCCCGCCAGACCCGGAAGGGAGCAACGGUAAGGCGCUCCUCCCGUGUGCCGUGGGAGUACCUGGCCGGAGCCGGUUUCGCGCGGCGCUCGCGGGACGGACGGCUCGAUUGAGGGUGCACGG